UUUGAUCCUGGCUCAGGACGAACGCUGGCGGCGUGCUUAACACAUGCAAGUCGAGCGGUAAGGCCUUUCGGGGUACACGAGCGGCGAACGGGUGAGUAACACGUGGGUGAUCUGCCCUGCACUCUGGGAUAAGCCUGGGAAACUGGGUCUAAUACCGGAUAUGACCUGCUCUCGCAUGGGGGUGGGUGGAAAGAUUUAUCGGUGCAGGAUGGGCCCGCGGCCUAUCAGCUUGUUGGUGGGGUAAUGGCCUACCAAGGCGACGACGGGUAGCCGACCUGAGAGGGUGACCGGCCACACUGGGACUGAGACACGGCCCAGACUCUACGGGAGGCAGCAGUGGGGAAUAUUGCACAAUGGGCGAAAGCCUGAUGCAGCGACGCCGCGUGAGGGAUGAAGGCUUCGGGUUGUAAACCUCUUUCAGCAGGGACGAAGCGCAAGUGACGGUACCUGCAGAAGAAGCACCGGCUAACUACGUGCCAGCAGCCGCGGUAAUACGUAGGGUGCGAGCGUUGUCCGGAAUUACUGGGCGUAAAGAGUUCGUAGGCGGUUUGUCGCGUCGUUUGUGAAAACCCGGGGCUCAACUUCGGGCUUGCAGGCGAUACGGGCAGACUUGAGUGUUUCAGGGGAGACUGGAAUUCCUGGUGUAGCGGUGAAAUGCGCAGAUAUCAGGAGGAACACCGGUGGCGAAGGCGGGUNUCUGG
Molecule: ribosomal RNA, 701 nt
Filed under: actinobacterium GWS-SE-H175
Lineage: Bacteria; Bacillati; Actinomycetota; Actinomycetes
Description: bacterial SSU rRNA
Rfam family: Bacterial small subunit ribosomal RNA
Source: RNAcentral